GACGAACGCUGGCGGCGUGCUUAACACAUGCAAGUCGAACGGAAAGGCCUUUUCGGAGGUACUCGAGUGGCGAACGGGUGAGUAACACGUGGGUGAUCUGCCCUGCACUCUGGGAUAAGCCUGGGAAACUGGGUCUAAUACCGGAUAGGACCGCACUUUAGUGUGUGUGGUGGAAAGUUUUUUCGGUGUAGGAUGAGCCCGCGGCCUAUCAGCUUGUUGGUGGGGUAAUGGCCUACCAAGGCGGCGACGGGUAGCCGGACUGAGAGGUUGGUCGGCCACAUUGGGACUGAGAUACGGCCCAGACUCCUACGGGAGGCAGCAGUGGGGAAUAUUGCACAAUGGGCGCAAGCCUGAUGCAGCGACGCCGCGUGGGGGAUGACGGCCUUCGGGUUGUAAACUCCUUUCGCCAAGGACGAAGCGUUUUGUGACGGUACCUGGAGAAGAAGCACCGGCUAACUACGUG
RNAcentral lists this ribosomal RNA (463 nucleotides) under uncultured bacterium. RNAcentral describes it as "partial 16S ribosomal RNA". It matches the Rfam family "Bacterial small subunit ribosomal RNA", at positions 28 to 507 of the family's 1533-position model. The record is from RNAcentral.